Molecule: unclassified non-coding RNA, 211 nt
Filed under: Hevea brasiliensis (rubber tree)
Lineage: Eukaryota; Viridiplantae; Streptophyta; Magnoliopsida; Malpighiales; Euphorbiaceae
Source: RNAcentral
GGCCUAUGCACUCAAUCUUGGGUUUGCUCUCCAUAUUUCAAGAUGAGAAAGCAAGUUCUGACCAGAGGAUGAUUGUUGACACAAUGGUGAAAACAAGCACUGUUCUCUCAACACUAAUAAAUGACGCAAUGGAGAUAUCUGCAAAAGAUGAUGGAAGGUUUCCAGUAGAAAUGAAGCCCUUUCAGUUGCAUUUACUGGUCAGGGAGGCUUC